UCCACAGGGACUGUUUAUCCAACUGAAGUCCAACAGUGUCACACUCUCUCCCAGCUGCACUGAGGGGAAAUAAGUCACCCAGGACAAACGCAACGACUAAUAACAUCCAGACAUGUCUAGCUAGUGCUCUCUGAUGUUCAGUAUGAAUACUGUUUAACUUAGAUAGAAAUGAACUUAUAUUGCCUAAUUGGUUUGAGUCUAAAGGGGGUGAGAGAAGGAGGGUUAUGAUGAGAUCAAUAACUCACUGAGUGAAUCUGUCCCUCUCAAGACUGCCAUCACUCCAUCAGCAUGCAAUAACGCUGGACUCAAUUCCAGGUUCCCGCAGUGUGGAGGGAUUCUCAUCAGCCUGUGGCAGUAUUUAAACCAUACAGCCUAGAGUAUGAUUCAAACUCUAGCGUGGAAUGUUAGAAGUGCCCGUGAUGUAAUGUUCAAUAUUGAUAACGACCGUGAGCAAGAUGGGUUCUAAUCGUUUAUGAAAAUAUUGUGCAGCCAGCAUGCAUUUUCCCCCUACUGUUCCCUUUCCCUCCUGCUUCUUCACUACAUCUAUCGGCUCUUUCUGAUAGGAAGAAAUCCACAAACACCUUCGCACCUCCUAUCAAAUGAGCUCCUGUAGAAACGCAACACUGUCAGAGAAGUGGCUCUGUGCACGCAAGGUGUAAGGUCCCUGGGGUGUUUUGUAAGCAUCAUUGCCAACUGGAUUCAAAGUAUAUUUUAGGCCUCUACUAAAGGCAUCUGUGGAUCUCAUGAACUGUGGAUUUCUUCUUGGCCACACAAACUAAACUCAAGGAUUAAAGAGUAGGCAUAUCAUAGUGUCGGGCAACAGGGCAGUACUGUUACUGAGUGGUAUUGAUGGGUUUGCUUUGAAAUGGUAAUGAUAGUAAUCAUCUCUGACACUAUUUUGUUUAAACUGUCCUCAAAGAAGUGGAUUGUGGUUUUAGACAUUAUAACAACUGGUGUCUUGGUCUGUAUGGUACCUCGUCCUGUUCCAGCAACAUAGUCUCAGUGCCACGCCCAGACAAAACGUUGAGGAAUGUGAACCUGAAGGUUCUGCCCAUGGAGACCCACCCUGGAGGCAGACCAUUCAGAACGCCUCAGCCCAGAAACCAGCCUGAUGGUGAUCUCGUACACUUUGCACUCCUCUCUUUUCUAUACUAUUCCUUCUUGAUCCCUCUGUCCUAUAUGUCCUAUAUGUCCUAUAUGUAAUUAACUCAACGUUUCAGGAUAAUAAUCCUAUACCAGCGAGAACUCUCUGUAACCUUUGUAAAAUACAGAAUAGAAAUAGGAUUCCCCCCUCAUUUCUAAUCUGAGAAAUAAAUUAAAAUAACUGGACUAAUUUGCCUUUGAAGUUUUUAAUGAUAAUUUGCCUCUUAGGUUUUCUGUAUAUAAAAUAUGCCCUAAACUUAAUGCCUGCCUUAAAGUAGACUUUCAUGGUUUAAACUUGCUCUUGUACAGAUUCCUCUGAUCAGCACAACACUGUCAUUGGCACAGAAAGGAGCAAUAGUAGAAUCACUUUUAUGGAUGAGUUUGAUCUGAAUGGUCAAGAACAAGGAGGGGAGAGACUGUCAACACUACAAUAGAAAAGUGUAGUGAUAAUGGUGUGUGUGCCUCCCUACCUGCGUGGAAAGAGAAAGAGAAGAGGGGAA
Molecule: long non-coding RNA, 1643 nt
Organism: Oncorhynchus tshawytscha (Chinook salmon)
Lineage: Eukaryota; Metazoa; Chordata; Actinopteri; Salmoniformes; Salmonidae
Exons: 3
Source: RefSeq, a predicted model, not a curated record